RNAcentral lists this long non-coding RNA (514 nucleotides) under Nicotiana benthamiana. RNAcentral's name for it is "long non-coding RNA (NBEN_LNC018992)". Lineage: Eukaryota; Viridiplantae; Streptophyta; Magnoliopsida; Solanales; Solanaceae. The record is from RNAcentral.
GACCAAGUUUAAUUACAAUAAACAUACUAAUCAAAUCAUGAAAAAAUAACACUAUCUAAAAUAUAACAGAAUUGUUGAAUUGUAAAUCCAUAGCAGAGAAUAGGCUACAAUUUUCAUUUCAGGUGAAACUACAUCAAUGUGAUUCAAACGUGUACCUGGAAUUCGAAUAUAACAAAAAUGGAAGAGAAAGAAAUCAGCAGCAAGGAAGCAACAAGCAGUACUCCCAAUCACAUCAAUGAAACAAUAGAGAUCGACAACAACCCAUAAAAUGAAUUUGACCAACCUAGGAGGAGUUCAAAACUUAAACAAAACUAAUAAAUCAACCAAUAGACCACUUGAAUGCACUCAAAGUUAGAACUCAGAUUUCGUAUCUUAAACUCUCUUCAACUCUCAAAAGAAACUCCCCAAAGUUAAAUUCUGUCGUGUAUACUGAGCGUAUCCAGAGUGUAUAUUGUGCGUAUACUUCUCUCUCCUCUCCCUUCUUUUUUUCUUCUCCUCCUAUUUUUCUCCGUAG